UGGGGAAUUUUGCACAAUGGGGGAAACCCUGAUGCAGCGACGCCGCGUGAUUUAGAAGGCCUUCGGGUUGUAAAAAUCUUUUCUAUGGGAAGAAAAUGACAGUACCAUAGGAAUAAGGACCGGCUAAUUACGUGCCAGCAGCCGCGGUAAUACGUAAGGUCCGAGCGUUGUCCGGAAUCAUUGGGCGUAAAGGGUACGUAGGCGGGUAAGCAAGUUAGAAGUGAAAUCCUAUAGCUCAACUAUAGUAAGCUUUUAAAACUGCUCAUCUUGAGGUAUGGAAGGGAAAGUUGAAUUCCUAGUGUAGCGGUGAAAUGCGCAGAUAUUAGGAGGAAUACCGGUGGCGAAGGCGACUUUCUGGCCAUAACCUGACGCUGAGGUACGAAAGCGUGGGUAGCAAACAGG
RNAcentral lists this ribosomal RNA (402 nucleotides) under bacterium. Its description in RNAcentral is "partial 16S ribosomal RNA". It matches the Rfam family "Bacterial small subunit ribosomal RNA", at positions 355 to 776 of the family's 1533-position model. The record is from RNAcentral.